RNAcentral lists this ribosomal RNA (933 nucleotides) under Triticum aestivum (bread wheat). RNAcentral describes it as "partial small subunit ribosomal RNA". Lineage: Eukaryota; Viridiplantae; Streptophyta; Magnoliopsida; Poales; Poaceae. The record is from RNAcentral.
AUGCUACUGGCUGUGGAAGGAGGAGGUUUUUUCUCAUCGUCAGCUUCAGGAUACAGUCAUGGCCUCGCUCUUUUGCUGCUUGGACGGAAAGAAGAAGAGAAGCCUGUCAAGGUAUCACCAUGGAGUCAGUACCGACUAGUCGAUGGGGAAGCUGAGCAUGUUUGUCAUCUGGCUUCCACGAAAAACCAAGCUCCCCGUAAAUGUGCUCCCUUCAUCUGCUUCGGUAGCACUGCUUUGGAGCUCGAAGGGGCGUCUCCUCCGAAACUGAGUUCAAGCAACACUUUGGACUCUUUGGAGGAGCCAUCCCGUUCAACAAAGAAGAAGGUUACCACUAAUGGUUCCAUAACUGGAGAUGAGAGAAAAGGUUGUCUUAAGAGCAACUCAAAAAGGGAUUCGUCAGAGCACUGUAUAGUGGUGAGUGAAGGUGAAGAACCACGUGAGUCACUGGAAGAGGUGCAAACCUUGAAAUCUGGUAUGGAACGGAGAAAAGUUCAAUGGACUGAUACAUGUGGAAAGGAGCUUUUUGAGAUAAGGGAAUUCGAAGCCAGUGAUGGAAGUUUGUCAGAUGAUGAACUGGAAAAUGAGGGUUUCAGGAAAUGUUUCUCGCCCAAGUGGAUAUCUUGGAUGAAGUCUUUUGUCCGAGGAGGAAGUGUAGCUAUAAAGGCAAACGAUGAUGUAAGACCUUAUGUUCAAACGAAGAAGGGUCUUCGACAGGACGAUCCCCUAUUCAUUAGGCUCUUCAACAUCAUAUAUGACAUGUUGGCCGUUCUAAUUGCUAAAGCCAAAGUUAUUUAUUCAGUUACUCGCUCACUCGGUACCCGGACUAUUCUUCAGAAUUCGGGUUCUCAAGAGUUGGUUGCAGGUUUGCAGCAGCUUGUCAAACAUUUGGAGCGGGUAGUCGUGUUUUACCCAGAAGCAUGGGUGGCGGCCUAG